RNAcentral lists this ribosomal RNA (439 nucleotides) under uncultured bacterium. RNAcentral describes it as "partial 16S ribosomal RNA". It matches the Rfam family "Bacterial small subunit ribosomal RNA", at positions 339 to 795 of the family's 1533-position model. The record is from RNAcentral.
CCUCGGGUGGCACCAGUGGGGAAUAUUGCACAAUGGAGGAAACUCUGAUGCAGCAACGCCGCGUGGAGGAUGACACUUUUCGGAGCGUAAACUCCUUUUAUAUAGGAAGAAGAUGACGGUACUAUAUGAAUAAGCGCCGGCUAACUCCGUGCCAGCAGCCGCGGUAAUACGGAGGGCGCAAGCGUUACUCGGAAUCACUGGGCGUAAAGAGCGUGUAGGCGGAUUAAAAAGUCAGAAGUGAAAUCCUAUAGCUUAACUAUAGAACUGCUUCUGAAACUCUUAAUCUAGAAUAUGGGAGAGGUAGAUGGAAUUUCUGGUGUAGGGGUAAAAUCCGUAGAGAUCAGAAGGAAUACCGAUUGCGAAGGCGAUCUACUAGAACAUUAUUGACGCUGAGACGCGAAAGCGUGGGGAGCAAACAGGAUUAGAUACCCCUGUAGUC